GGGCCCGCACAAGCGGCGGAGCAUGCGGCUUAAUUCGAUGCAACGCGAAGAACCUUACCUAGGCUUGACAGUUGGGGAAAUCUGGCAGAGAUGCCAGGUCCGUAAGGGCCCCAAAACAGGUGGUGCAUGGCUGUCGUCAGCUCGUGUCGUGAGAUGUUGGGUUAAGUCCCGCAACGAGCGCAACCCUCGUCGUAUGUUGCCAGCGGAUAAUGCCGGGGACUCAUACGAGACUGCCGGGGUCAACUCGGAGGAAGGUGGGGACGACGUCAAGUCAUCAUGCCCCUUAUGUCUAGGGCUGCACGCAUGCUACAAUGGCCGGUACAGAGGGCUGCGAAACCGCAAGGUAGAGCGAAUCCCAAAAAGCCGGUCUCAGUUCGGAUUGGGGUCUGCAACUCGACCCCAUGAAGUCGGAGUCGCUAGUAAUCG
RNAcentral lists this ribosomal RNA (426 nucleotides) under uncultured bacterium. RNAcentral's name for it is "bacterial SSU rRNA". It matches the Rfam family "Bacterial small subunit ribosomal RNA", at positions 917 to 1344 of the family's 1533-position model. The record is from RNAcentral.